GUUAUAAAAUUAAAUUUUUUCUAAACUUCAAAUACCAUCUUGGUGAUUUUAUACUUUCUAACUUUAGUAUCCCGUGAUGUAAAAUAUAUCAAUUUAGGCUGCGUUUGGUUCGUUUUUUUUUCAUCCUGGAAUCCGAAUCGGAAUGGACAAAUCCGUUUGUCCGUAAUUGGUAUACAGAAUUCUCAUUUUGAUUCAAAUUUUUAGGUGAAUGAAAAUUCCCCCAAUUACCCUUUUUUUCAAUUCAGCCUUGAAGGCCAGAUUGAAAAUUAAAUUUGGGUAGAAUAGAUUUAUUCGGAUUAAAUUUAACUUUUUUAAACUUAUUUUUUAAUUAAAACAUAAAUUUAAGUUUAAAAAAUUAUAUUUAUAAAUUUUAAUUUUAAUUUGAACUUAAAUUAAAAAUUAAAAUUCAAUCAAACAUUUCGAAUCUAAUUUAUAAAUUUGAAUUUAAAUUCAAAUUAAAUUUAAACCUAAAGUUUUAUUCAAAUUUCAUUUAAAAUUUUAAAUUAAAAUUUUGACAUAUAUUUUUAAUAUUUAUUUUUUAGUUUGAAUUUAAAUAAUAUAUUAUAAAGAUAAAAUUGACAUAUUAAUUUAAUUACGUUUCUGAUAUCUAUUUGAACUAAUUACCGACAAUAAAAAUGGUUCAUUCUGACUCAACUGAGGUGAGAAACCAAACAAAAUAAGAUAAUGAAUCUUUUCGAUUCCGUUUCCAGCUUAUUCUCCUUUCGAUUUCGAUACUGAUUCCGAUUUCGAACCAAACACACCCAAAAUAAUUCAAGGCACUAUGUGCUCGUUUUCGAUCAUUAUUUUAAGUCGAUUAUUCUACUA
This 825-nucleotide long non-coding RNA is filed under the name Ananas comosus (pineapple). RNAcentral's name for it is "long non-coding RNA (ACOM_LNC009604)". Lineage: Eukaryota; Viridiplantae; Streptophyta; Magnoliopsida; Poales; Bromeliaceae. The record is from RNAcentral.